RNAcentral lists this long non-coding RNA (232 nucleotides) under Rosa chinensis. RNAcentral describes it as "sRNA RchiOBHm_Chr5g0050401". The record is from RNAcentral. Lineage: Eukaryota; Viridiplantae; Streptophyta; Magnoliopsida; Rosales; Rosaceae.
GCUGUUGACAGCUCUUAAGUGAUGGCUUCCAAACAAAGAGGCAGCUGCAUAGGUGGAGUUGUCCUUCUUCAUCAGCUCGGCCCGGUCUUAUAGGUUCCAAGCGGUCGACUCUCUUUCACUCUUUCUCAGGCAAAGCUUGCAUUUCUGAAAGAUUGGAGGGCGCCAAUACAUUGAUAUACCUGGACAAUAUAUCUAUACACAGCGCCUCAAAGGAGCCAAGGUCAAUGAUAAG